UACGGGGGGAGCAAGCGUUGUUCGGAUUUACUGGGCGUAAAGGGCGCGUAGGCGGCCACCGCAAGUCAAUUGUGAAAUCUCCGGGCUCAACCCGGAAAGGUCAACUGAUACUGCGGGGCUAGAGUGCAGAAGGGGCAACUGGAAUUCUCGGUGUAGCGGUGAAAUGCGUAGAUAUCGAGAGGAACACCUGCGGCGAAGGCGGGUUGCUUGGCUGACACUGACGCUGACAGCGCGAAAGCUAGGGGAGCGAACGGG
RNAcentral lists this ribosomal RNA (255 nucleotides) under uncultured bacterium. Its description in RNAcentral is "partial 16S ribosomal RNA". It matches the Rfam family "Bacterial small subunit ribosomal RNA", at positions 524 to 776 of the family's 1533-position model. The record is from RNAcentral.